GGCCAGCAUCAGUUUGGGUGGCAGGAUAAGUGCGUAGGAAAGUGGCUCCACCUCGGUGGAGUGUUAUAGCCUGCGUCGAUACUGCCUGCCUAGACUGAGGCUGCGUCUUUGACUAGGAUGCUGGCAUAAU
This 130-nucleotide ribosomal RNA is filed under the name Yamadazyma scolyti. RNAcentral's name for it is "partial 26S rRNA". The record is from RNAcentral. Lineage: Eukaryota; Fungi; Ascomycota; Pichiomycetes; Serinales; Debaryomycetaceae.